CACCGCGGUUAUACGAGAGGCCCAAGUUGAUAGUCCACGGCGUAAAGAGUGGUUAGAAAGAACCUAUUACUAAAGCCGAACGCCCGCAUGGCUGUUAUACGCUUCCGGAGGUGAGAAGCCCAUCCACGAAAGUAGCUUUAUAAACUUGAACCCACGAAAGCUAGGAAA
Molecule: ribosomal RNA, 168 nt
Filed under: Roncador stearnsii
Lineage: Eukaryota; Metazoa; Chordata; Actinopteri; Sciaenidae
Description: partial small subunit ribosomal RNA
Source: RNAcentral